This is a long non-coding RNA of Xiphophorus hellerii (green swordtail), 4601 nucleotides long. RefSeq lists it as uncharacterized. The record is from RefSeq and is a predicted model, not a curated record. NCBI's taxonomy places the organism in Eukaryota, Metazoa, Chordata, Actinopteri, Cyprinodontiformes, Poeciliidae. The transcript has 2 exons.
AUAGCCAGCGCCGCUCCGCCGUGUUCGCAGCGGAUCGCCCCGUCCCGGCUCUCGGCUGAAGCGCUCGCGCUGCCGCCUGCUCGGAGCGGAGCUUCUUUAUUAUUCUAAGAGCAGAAAAUAAUCGCGAACGGUGUUUAAAAAACAGCCGUUCCCCUCCGCGAUGACGAAUGGGUUAUCCGUCCCACCAGUGCUGCUCAUUUCCAACUAGUUUUGCCACCGAGAAUGAAAGAUUGAAUUGCCUAAUGUAUGCGAGUGAACUUUGGGUGAACCCUUCCGAGGCUGCUGACCUUCAAAUGACCCAGGCAGGCUGACAUCACUGCAGCUCUGCAGCGCAGAGGAAGGCGGCGAGAAGAAGCGCAUGGGGGAAGGAGAAAGAUUUAUUCUUUAUUUUUCUUUUGGAAAACAGAACGACUUCCAAAAUAUGAAACCAUGUUUUUGGAAUUCAUACCAAACCACCACAACGAUUCUGUGCGGGGUUUUCCUUUCUUUAUUUUUUUCCUGUUUGUCUCCUUUACGCAGAAAAGAGUUCCUAAUUUCUCCGUACAUUUAAUGCUUAAAAAAAAAAAUAAAAGAAGACAUUUAAUAUACAGGAAAUUGUAAAUAAGUAAUCGCAAAAUUAUAUGUUGUUGAAAAAUAAUUUGAUGUCAAAUUUAAACAAAUUUUCUGAUAAAGUAAAUUUACAGGAAACAGCUUAUUCACUUACAUUUGGUCAUUUGAUAAAUAAACAAAUUAGUCAAUUAAUCAGUUAACUAUUAUUGGUGACAGUUAUAUUAGUUAUCAUUUGUUUUUUGUACAGUGAAGAAAUAUGCAAGCGCAUCAGUCAAUUAACCAAAGGUUGUAACUGGCUCGUUUUUUGUUGAUCUGGCUGGUAAUUAGAAAGUCAAUUUUAUUAAAUUUUUUUUCUUGAGUCCCUGAAUGCUGUAAAACUGAGAACUCUCAUCAUGUCUGUCUGUCUGGAAGCUGAUCAACCAACAACAUGCACUGUAAUGCAUCAUGUUCUGAUUUUACACAAGUAUUUGCACCCUGUGAACUUUGACCUAUGUUGCGUUACAACUGAAGAUUUCAAUGUAUUUUAUAGAUUUUAUGGUAAACCAAGACAAAAUUAGAAUAGAUCUGCGAAGUGGAACAAAAAUGAGAUGUUGUUUUUUAAAACUGUUUUUCAAAGCAAAAAUCUGAAAAGUGUGGUGAGCAUGCGUGCUCUUCUGGCCCAAGUGGCUGUGUGUGAGGACAGAGACAGUGAGCACAAGCCACUGUUUGUACGCGUGACAUGUUUAUGCACAGGGUUUUCUUCUCCUAUUGAAAUGUAUUUGGAUCAUGUGUUCGUAUGUCUUGGCUGGACUGUUGGGACCAGUUUUUAUCUUAUGAAGCAUUUGGGAUUUGUCCCACUGAAUUUGGUUUUUCAGGAAUCUGGCCAGUCAGUGAACAGAAGAAGGGGUCGUGAACGAUGGCGUUGAUUUUCUGCUCUGUUUUAUAAUUUUAGUCCACCUGUUUCAGUAAUGGCAGCGGAGGACGCAAAGGGAGCCAUUCAGUCUGUUGGUCGCUCUUCCAAAUAUUGGGAGAUUAAAGUCAAAACAAAAGAAAUGUCUAAGUUAUUUUAUGAUAACAAAGUAGUUUGUUGUUGUUCGAUGCGCAUAGAGUGUUUUUAUAAUAUUUAAAACAUUUUCCAGCCAACAAAGAACCUGGUCUUAACGUUCAACUGAAGCAUGUUGCUUCAUUCCUGCCAAUGGACGAUUGAGAGCAAUUCAGAAACAUUAUAUCAAAGAAAGAGACAAAAGAGGAGGAAACAAACCCUGAAGCCUCUAAAAUAUAACAAUUUAAUCACAUCAAAAACAGAAUAAGAAAGAACUUUUUUUCACAUUGAUCAUUGUGUAAUAUUAAUGAGUGUUUGGGAAUCUGAAAGGAGUUUGCAGUGUGCUGCUGCCUUCAGAGACUGUAAUGCAUUAUGCAGUAUAUGGUAUAUGCAGUGCAGAUAUGUUUGGAGCUGCUGGUGAGAAGAAUAAUAAUGCAGAGAGGAGGAGACAGUAUUCCUCUGAAUAGUUCCAGUUUUAACCUAAACUUACUCAUCAAGUAUCUAAUAAAACAAGGGGGGAUGUUAACUAGACUGUGUUCAUCUACACAGUGUUGGGAUAAGAUUCAUAAAGGCUUUUAAAUAAUCCCCUAACUUAAUGUGUAAACACAAAUAUGGUCAGUUUUAUGUUGUUUCUCCUCCAUACAGGAAGUAAAAAUAAAGGCUGAAAAAUCUGGAGACCUUCUAAACUUUGGCAACAAGAAGGACCUUCCUUGUUUAAUGCCAACAUGUUGGUGUUUGGGAUUCAAUGUGGGACUCAGAAGACAGGAGAUAAAACAUCAUGCCUUCCUGUUUCCUGUAGGGGAGGAUUUUGAUGAAGGAGAUCAAUCAGGCAUUGAAACAUUAGAUGAUUUCCUCCACUGACCAACGAUGGAGGUAUGAACCAUGUGGACCCGUCUGGUCAUCAGAGAUCUCCUUACCCAGAAUUCCCAGAGCCAGAAUCAAACCAGACGAGGCAGCAUUUAAGUUUCUAUGCUCCUCUGCUUUGGAACAAACUGUCUGUAAAUCUGAAAUGUGCAGAAACUCUUGGUUCCAUUAAAUCAGGACUGAAAAGAGUUUUGUUUACAGCAGCUAAUGAAGUGUCUGCAUAAGGCUUUAUUUUCUGUUUUCCUUUCCUUUGACUUCCAGAAAAGCACAUUGGUCUGCUCUGUGUAUGAAUGUUGUUGUAAAAAAAAUGAUUUAUUUAUAUUUGCUUUUUAUUACAGAGCUGACAAUCAGGUGACACAAAACACAUUGAGCUCAUCUGUUUCUGUAGUACAGCUAUACAACCAAAAUGUGUUAUUUCAACAUAAUUCAAUCUGUUUUGUGGAGCGCACCAAUCCAUCCUGCAGCAAAACAUCCCCACAGCAUGAUGCUGCCACCAUUGUACUUCAUAAUUGGGAUGGUAUCUCAUGGUAGCAAACUUUUUCCUUUUCCAGUGAAGGUCAUUAGGGCCCCACACUUUAGCUGUGGUUUCUGUUUGUGCUGCUGAGGACGUUUUUACCCCGUGGAACAGAUGUUUUUAUUCUUUCUCAUUCAGUGAGCUGUAAGUCGGAAGCUUUAAAAGCCACAUCAUCAUCACCUGGGCUAAGAAACUCCCAGAGUUCUCCAGCGUUGCCAAGGGAGGGCGGAGUCUGGCGCUGCCAGCCAAUCACACACAGAGUUGCUCAGACAGCCACUGGCCCAGGCAGUCUUUAUUCGUCAGUGUUUUUGUCUGAACUCUGAACCUUGUAUUUCUGGACUCUCCAACUACAUUGCAGUUGUAUUUAUCACAGUGCUGGAGGAAAAUCGGUUCCUGGUUGAUGUUUGAUUUGUGUCUAAUAUUUGGUUGUUAACUUACAUAUUAAUAUUCUCAACAUGUUUCCUGUUACCAUCAUAUCGGUGGGGUUCUUCAUUUUUGGCCCAUUUUGUGUGAUGAAUUGAAGCAGCCAAACAUAUGCAUACUUUGAUAUAGGUUGCUGAUCUUAUUAAAUAAAUACAUAUUAUUGGAUAUGCUUUAAUCCAAUGGCUAUCUGAAUUCAUAAGCUGGAGCUUGAAUAUAUGCAUAAAAUUUAAUAAUUUCUGGAAAGUAAAUUUUUUUGUUUUGUCUUAACAGUCCUGGUGCUUUUAUUCUGUGCUUUAGUAUUUACUGUGUAUUUCUAAUUUGCUCCCCGUUUCUCUGUGUGUUCUGUCAGCCAUUUCUCCCAUUUCCUCAGUUCAGCUUCAGUUCCAGGCCUCCCCUCACAGCUGCAGCCUGCAGCCAGCUCUUGGUCAGCUCCCUUUGUUAUCCCCACCAGCCUGUUUCCUUUUUUCUCCUCCUGUGAUUUCGUACUUUGAAUUUCCACUGGAUUUUAGUUUUUGAUUUUUCUUUUUUGAGUGAACUCGUAUUGAUCACCUCCCUGCUUCCUGCAACUGGCUCCUGCUCUUCAACUCUUAAGGACAAAAAAUGACAAUGAAGAUAAUUAGGGAUGAAAUUCUAUAAACAUUUGGGCUGAUAUCAAUAUCUGAUAUUAAUGCUGCUGUAACUGAUAACCAAUGUUUAUCAAAUUUGAAUGUAUGUAUUUAGAUAGGAUGCAAAAGUUGCCACAUCACCUAUUGCUGCUCUGCUUCAGUUCCUGAGCCCAAACGGCAAGAAAAGGGAAAUAAACAUCGGUUGUUAAUAUCAGCACAUUUUCCUCAUUGGACCGAUAUGUCAGAAAUAACUAACAUUGGCCGACACCAAUGAUGAUGCUGAUGACACAGGUCAUCACUGACUCUCCUCAAGCUCAUGUAUUUGAAAUGGCAGGGUGUGAAUUCAGUGAUUUGGACCAUAAAAAUGUUGAAAUCAUAGAACUUUACAGAACACUUAACAAAUGUAUUUUCUCUAGUCAUUGUUGGUGUUUUAAUGGCCAUGAUGGCAGGUGAGGCAGAGCUAUUGACUGUAUUGAAAUCUCAUGGGGAAAGAUUUUGUUUGUAAUAGCGUCACAAAAUGUUGUGAUUUUAUUUGUCUAAAAACAUCGCAUAGUCCGGUUUUCAGGGCAGAACUGAUUUAUUGUAGUGACAAAAGUAGCAAUGAGUAAAUAUAUGUAUAUAAAGA